UGGGUGGAUGAGUGGCGAACGGGUGAGUAAUACGUGAGUAACCUGCCCUUGACUCUGGGAUAAGCCUGGGAAACUGGGUCUAAUACUGGAUACUACAUUCUCUCGCAUGGGGGUGUGUGGAAAGGGUUUUACUGGUUUUGGAUGGGCUCACGGCCUAUCAGCUUGUUGGUGGGGUAAUGGCCUACCAAGGCGACGACGGGUAGCCGGCCUGAGAGGGUGACCGGCCACACUGGGACUGAGACACGGCCCAGACUCCUACGGGAGGCAGCAGUGGGGAAUAUUGCACAAUGGGCGAAAGCCUGAUGCAGCGACGCCGCGUGAGGGAUGACGGCCUUCGGGUUGUAAACCUCUUUCAGCACGGAAGAAGCGAAAGUGACGGUACGUGCAGAAGAAGCGCCGGCUAACUACGUGCCAGCAGCCGCGGUAAUACGUAGGGCGCAAGCGUUGUCCGGAAUUAUUGGGCGUAAAGAGCUCGUAGGCGGUUUGUCGCGUCUGCUGUGAAAGCCCGGGGCUUAACCCCGUGGUGUGCAGUGGGUACGGGCAGACUAGAGUGCAGUAGGGGAGACUGGAAUUCCUGGUGUAGCGGUGAAAUGCGCAGAUAUCAGGAGGAACACCGAUGGCGAAGGCAGGUCUCUGGACUGUUACUGACGCUGAGGAGCGAAAGCAUGGGUAGCGAACAGGAUUAGAUACCCUGGUAGUCAUGCCGUAAAA
RNAcentral lists this ribosomal RNA (711 nucleotides) under Kocuria sp. KLBMP 1313. RNAcentral's name for it is "bacterial SSU rRNA". It matches the Rfam family "Bacterial small subunit ribosomal RNA", at positions 84 to 807 of the family's 1533-position model. The record is from RNAcentral. Lineage: Bacteria; Bacillati; Actinomycetota; Actinomycetes; Micrococcales; Micrococcaceae.